This 347-nucleotide unclassified non-coding RNA is filed under the name soil metagenome. RNAcentral's name for it is "partial contains 5.8S ribosomal RNA, internal transcribed spacer 2, and large subunit ribosomal RNA". The stretch from base 1 to 120 matches the Rfam family "5.8S ribosomal RNA", at positions 35 to 154 of the family's 154-position model. The record is from RNAcentral.
GAUGAAGAACGUAGCGAAAUGCGAUAAGUAAUGUGAAUUGCAGAAUUCAGUGAAUCAUCGAGUCUUUGAACGCACAUUGCGCCCCCUGGUAUUCCGGGGGGCAUGCCUGUCCGAGCGUCAUUGCUGCCCUCAAGCACGGCUUGUGUGUUGGGCCCCGCCCCCCGGCUCCCGGGGGGCGGGCCCGAAAGGCAGCGGCGGCACCGCGUCCGGUCCUCGAGCGUAUGGGGCUUCGUCACCCGCUCCGUAGGCCCGGCCGGCGCCCGCCGGCGACCCCCCUCAAUCUUUUCAGGUUGACCUCGGAUCAGGUAGGGAUACCCGCUGAACUUAAGCAUAUCAAUAAGCGGAGA